RNAcentral lists this ribosomal RNA (253 nucleotides) under uncultured bacterium. RNAcentral's name for it is "partial 16S ribosomal RNA". It matches the Rfam family "Bacterial small subunit ribosomal RNA", at positions 524 to 776 of the family's 1533-position model. The record is from RNAcentral.
UACGUAGGGCGCAAGCGUUGUCCGGAAUUAUUGGGCGUAAAGAGCUCGUAGGCGGUUUGUCGCGUCUGUCGUGAAAGCUUGGGGCUUAACCCCAAGUCUGCGGUGGAUACGGGCAGACUAGAGGCAGGUAGGGGAGAACGGAAUUUCCGGUGUAGCGGUGAAAUGCGUAGAUAUCGGAAGGAACAUCAGUGGCGAAAGCGACUUCCUGGACCAAUACUGACGCUCAUGUGCGAAAGCGUGGGGAGCAAACAGG